ACACAUGCAAGUCGAGCGAUGAGAUCCCUUCGGGGAAGGAUUAGCGGCGAACGGGUGAGGAACACGUGAGGAAUCUGCCUUCAACACUGGGAUAACUCCGGGAAACCGGGGCUAAUACCGGAUACGAGACCUGCAGGCAUCUGCGGGUCUGGUAAAGUUUUUCGGUUGAAGAUGACCUCGCGGCCUAUCAGCUUGUUGGUGAGGUAAUGGCUCACCAAGGCGACGACGGGUAGCCGGCCUGAGAGGGCGACCGGCCACACUGGGACUGAGACACGGCCCAGACUCCUACGGGGAGGCAGCAGGUGGGGAAUAUUGGGCAAUGGGAGGGAACUCUGACCCAGCGACGCCGCGUGCGGGAUGAAGGCCUUCGGGUUGUAAACCGCUUUCAGCAAGGAAGAAGCGAAAGUGACGGUACUUGCAGAAGAAGCACCGGCUAACUAUGUG
This 444-nucleotide ribosomal RNA is filed under the name uncultured bacterium. Its description in RNAcentral is "bacterial SSU rRNA". It matches the Rfam family "Bacterial small subunit ribosomal RNA", at positions 51 to 507 of the family's 1533-position model. The record is from RNAcentral.